RNAcentral lists this long non-coding RNA (402 nucleotides) under Zea mays. Its description in RNAcentral is "long non-coding RNA (ZMAY_LNC001012)". The record is from RNAcentral. Lineage: Eukaryota; Viridiplantae; Streptophyta; Magnoliopsida; Poales; Poaceae.
AAUGAAAUUAUUUUCAUGAGUGUCUUAGAAUCGACAUAUGUUGGGGUUAGUUCUACGCUUUAGUGGUCAUAGUACUUGAUAUUUACUAAUCGAGUUUAGGUUGAAUGGAUGUAUAUGCGUAGAGUCAUUAGAGUAGUUCUUCAUUUGCAAUAUGAACCUUAGGAUGAAGAUGCAACUCAUACGAAGUAAUUAUGUGCAUGGUUAUGAAGUAUACUAAUCUAUCUAUGUGAUUAACUAGGUGGUUUUAGCUCUAAUUUAGGACGAUGUGUCAGAAUAGUUGAAGUACCAAGCACAUGGUGAUUGUAGAAGCCAAAUAGGAGCUAAAUUGAAUAUAUUGCUGUUUAGAGCUAUAGGUACAGUUUUAAUUGUGCAGCUAAUUUAACAAAGUAAACCAUGUUUUCU